CCCUUAGAUGUUCUGGGCUGCACGCGCGCUACACUGAUGCAUGCAACGAGUUUAUAACCUUGGCCUGAAAGGUCUGGGUAAUCUUUUGAACGAGCAUCGUGAUAGGGAUAGAUUAUUGCAAUUGUUAAUCUUGAACGAGGAAUUCCUAGUAAACGCGAGUCAUCAGCUCGCAUUGAUUACGUCCCUGCCCUUUGUACACACCGCCCGUCGCACCUACCGAUUGAAUGGUUCGGUGAAGAUCUCGGACUUCGAUAUUUAUUCUUUAUUGAGUUUAUAUUGUGGGAAGUUAUCUAAACCUCAUCAUUUAGAGGAAGGUGAAGUCGUAACA
This 328-nucleotide ribosomal RNA is filed under the name uncultured eukaryote. Its description in RNAcentral is "partial 18S ribosomal RNA". It matches the Rfam family "Eukaryotic small subunit ribosomal RNA", at positions 1470 to 1796 of the family's 1831-position model. The record is from RNAcentral.